GGGCUGGAACUGUUAGAAAUGUUCAAGUGCAUGUGGGGAAGUAAAACUGUAACCAUGUGGCUUUGGGAAGUCAUAGCAUGCCCAGCCUAUUACUUGCUUCAGUAGCUGGGUGCAACUAGAUCAGCAUUCAUAAAAACAACAAGCUGGCUGAGAAACAAGGAUACUUGAAUUCCUACUUCUUGGAACCUAUGCAGGAACUUCUGUCAACCUACUACAAGAUCCACUUACCCCCAGCUGAGAUGGCAGCUGAGGGACAUCAUGUCAUCCAUGACUGACGUCAUGGCGUCUGAAAUGGAAGCGUUUAUGAAGCAAAGGUGUGGAAUUGAAUUCCUCCAUGCAGAAAAAAAUGGCACCCACUGACAUUCAUAGAUGCUUGCUGAACACUUAUGGAGACCAAACAGUGGAUGUGAGCACAGUGAAGCGGUGGAUGGUGCGUUUCAGCAGUGGGGACAGUGACAGUGGGUCACCUCCGCUGGUGCAAAUUUUUACAUGCACGGCAUGAAGCUCUCGUUCAUCCCUGGCAAAAAUGCACAGCUAAUGGUGGUGACUAUGUUGAAAAAUAGUGUUUUGUAGCUGAGAAUUUCUCUAUCAAGUAGUGUUAUUGUGCUCUUUGUAUCUGUUGUAGUUUCCAUGGAAAUAAACAGGAGGCGUUACUUUCAAAACGACCUAUGCAUGUUGAUUUAAUUUGGCAAUUAUUGUCUCUUUCCUUUGUGCCAAGCUAUUUUUCAUCUUCCAGAAAAGAGUCACUGAGAGUUUUACAUAACACUUCAAAGUAUUAAUUUUAAUCUAUGAGCUACAGUUUGUGAGUCUAGGGAAUAUACAACACUUUGGUAAGACUGUUUUAUAGGCAUGGCACUGGGAUGGCUGCAUUGCUUGCAACUGGCAGAGAAAUGUGAGCGCCUUCUGUAAGUUAUAAUCACUCAACACUUAUGGUUCUUUUGUUUUGCACUCAGUUUUUUCAGUAGUUGAUCUGGGCACUGUAUGGCACAGAUAACACAAGCACAGCUGCACUGGGUGAAGCUAGAGGUUUGCCUGGACCAGAAGCCUGUCUCCAGCCAUGGCCAGCAGCACAUAUUAAGGGCUGAGCACGUGAAGAGGACAAGCACGUGGUGAUUAUUCCCCAGGAUUUGCUUUCUGCCUCCAGCUGUUAGUGGCUUAGAGAUAUCUCAAACCAGAGUUGGCGCCUGCCAAACCAAGAGCUCUCAGAACAUCAAACGUGCAGAAAAGCACUUUCAUGUGUAUCAUUAGCAGGACAAAGUGUGUUUAUGAAAAGCUGCUAAAUGUCCAUUUUGAACUGGAUAGCUCUAAGAAGAACAACUACAAACGUUUCUUUAAAAAGGAUAAACGUGCAACCGGUGCAUCCAUUUCGGAGAGUUUUUGAAGGCUCUGUAUUUACUGUCAGGUGUCAGUGCUAAGAAAUACAAUUAAGGUCUGAGUAGUCCUAGAUCAUAAUGGUACGCCUUCUAGGUACCACCGCUUACCUUAUACCUGCCCCAGGGGACCUGGAAGGUGGCCAGAGUCAUUGACAGGUUCAUAAAGUGUAGGUGCACCUUCUUAAGUCUCAGAAAUGGUUUCAAAAAAAAAAAAAAAAAGGGAAAUAAGUGUGGUGUUUCCAUUGUGCUUCAGAAAAACAAACCCUUCAGGAAGAAAAAAAAAUGGAAACACAUGAAACACAAAUUGGAUACACUCGAAGUUAAUGAAAGGAAAAUCUUUUUCCAUUUUAGUUAAUGUCUUAAAUUAGAAUUUUGGUAAAGAAGCUGGAAAACAGAUGGAGAGGAUAUAUUUUUCUAAAAUAAUUUGUUAGUGAAUUUGAAGCUCAUGAAUGAGAAUAACUAUUAAUAGCACUGGCUAGAGCAACACUGCGUGGACUGCAGCUGUGUUGGUUUCUCCACUGUAUGAGAGAUGCUCCAAAAGUAAUGCCUCCUAUUUUAUGAUGUUGACCCAUGAUGUCAGAGGUGGAUGUUGCUGGGAUAGAGGUAGAGGUUGAAUCUUCCCACCAAUAUUCCAUUGCAUUUUGUUGCCAAAUCACUGGCAAAAAUGCAUAAUAGCGGUGACUAUGUUGACAAAUAGUUUUUUCUAGCUGAGAAUUCACUCUAUCAAAUAGUGUUAUUGUGCUCUUCACACUUGUAGCAGUUCCCAUGGAAAUAAACAGGAGACAUGACUUUUGGAGUGACCCACACAGUUCUCCCACUGCACUGCAGGAACCUGUGACCCACAGCUGCAUCUUGCACGUCCUGCUGGUCUAAUUAUACCAGAAAUCCAUUCCUCCAGACUUUCCCCAGUAUCCUCACUGUAUUACACCUUUUUGUCCUGUUUCUUCAUUCUCACUUGGUUACCAGCACAAUCCAUUUCCAACUGUCUCUAUGGAAACCUUUUAUUCCAUCUUGCCCAACCUGAUGCAUCUUGCCUUAAAAACUUUAUGCUGUCUUCAUGUUCUGGCCUUCUCAGCGUUUCCCCACCUAUAUACACACACUUUACCCAGGGGCUGCUCAUUAUAUCAUAUUUUCAUACCUUCCACCGUUCCUUCUACUGUCUUUGGAAAAACUCUCACCAAGUACAUUUCCAAUUUACACUAACAAAAAGUGAAAAAGAAAGGUUAUACAUGCUUGCCUUGAGGUUGCCCAUCAAGUACUGUAUUUCUUUUUCUGCAAAAAAAGUAUUUAUCUUUCCAUUCCACAUCUUGACAUGUAGUUCCUCCUCUGUUUUUAUCAACCAUCUUGUUUGCAUAGCUGCUCCUCAGGAUAUUUGUCACGGCUGGCUUACAGCACACUCUGCUGAUUUACAGCAGCAAUUAAUAAUUUCAUAUCUGUUGGGAGGGGAUGGAUCUCUAUCUUACAGAGAUGAGUAGCAAAUGAUACUCACAAGUCUGAAAAAUGCUGAUGAGCAUUUUUUUCAUCCAAAUCAAAACACAGAGUUCAUGCCCUGGUGACAAACCGGAGAGGAAGAUGUUGUGCAAGGAUGGAGGGCAUCAGAGAGUGACUUUCAAGUCCCAUCUAGGAGUGGGACUGAUGUUUCUGCCCUGACUCAGUGUUAUCUGUCCUUCUACCUGCUGGGCAAGAUCCUCCACUCGUGUGAGCCUGGUUGGCUCCACUGGUACCCUGUGCUGGAACUGGAUAGCCCUGCUCAAGCUCAAAUACUGUCAGUGCUGCAGGUCAGCAGCCAUGAGCAAAGUUGUGCAAUUAAAGUUGCAGAGCACCAGCCCACACUCUAAACAGCCCUAUCUGAUUCCUGACUUUAUGAGCAACCGCAUGGACACAUGCUAUUGAUUGGAAGGGAAAAGAAAGUUAAAAAAAAGACCGUGUUUGGUCCUCUUAGUAAAAUCUUUCUGGGCCUGAAUUUUGGUCUCUGCCUCUUUUUGCUAACUCACAAAAGCAGACUUAAGUCAGGAGGAGCUGCUAGCUUUGUGUGCAGAUAUGAAACAGCAGCAGAAUGAAAGUUUGUGCAAAGACAAAGGAGCAAGAGACCUUCUUUCACUGUGGCCUUUUAUUGCACUUCUGGGUAUUCACUCAGCUUAGAGACAGCACUGAUUGUCCCAGGCAGUGGACUGUGAAAAGUCUGUAAGUGCAAAAAAGGUACACAAACUCCAUCGAUAAUAAUAAUAAUAAUCUUAUUUAGUAGAUGCCCACAAAUUGUUCCUGUCCCAAGUACUGUUUAUUCCAAUGUACCUGAGUGUUCACUGGUAACAGUACAGCUGGACUUCUUAAUGCUUCCAUAGCUGUCUUUAUCUUGACUUUGUCAGGCCCUGUCUUCACAGCUGAGCACAUUUUUUACCUGUCCCUAGGCUUCAUGUCUUUCCUUUCCCACUUCGCUAAUCCACCACGCUCUCUUCUUCCAACACACUAAAUCGAGGUUAGUAAGAGCAGUAACAAGAACACAACGGUGCCCCUACUGCUUAAUCUCCAAGUUCAGGCUAGUUUAUAGGUGCCUAUGUUUUUAGGAGAGGGAAUGUCUUGCAGAUGAGGACUGCCUUUGUUUUUUCUACUGUCCAGAGCUGAGCGUGCUGUCAGUGCUGACCUGAAACAUGUAACACUUGUGUUAAUAUUUUCCUAAGUGUUCCUAGGUAUAAACUUGAGACUACUGAAGGGACAGGCAAAAGAGGAAGAGGGCAAAACUCCCUAGGUUUCAUUUAAUGUUUUUAGUCAUUUGAACUGACCGUAAGCCUGGGGUACCUUGGAUAAGGCCUGAAAUGUUAGCUUUGUACAUACAUAUAGAUCCCUUUAAUAACCUGGAUGUACACAAUUGCCUUUCAACCUAGAGAAUUAUAUAACACUUCACAUGGUUUUGCAAGGAGUGUACCAGGGAGUAUUUGAAAGGAUCUGAGCCAAGAAGCUGUACAGACAGCAAGGCGUCUGUGUUGCCACUACAAAGUGGAUGUUAAUUACCUAAAACAAUACAUGUAAUAGGCGAAGAGAAAAAUGCUUUGCAUUGCCUUGCCAUACCCACUCAUCUAGUGCAUCUCUAACUGCACAGUUAUUUAGCCUGGAGGGAUCAUAAUUAGCUGCUUCAUAAAUUAAUAAGGGAAAGGAGGAGGGAAGGGGGAAAACUACCAGUGCAAGAAUGGUGGGAAACUUUAGAUAGGAUGUUUCUCGAAGAAUGUUGUUAGCACGCAUAAUUACUUCAUUAAAUAAAGACACAUACAAAUGCACAAGGAUUCUCCAUCCCUCGACAGAGAUGAGUUGUUCAAUGGGCACUGCAUGGCUCCUAGCUGAAGGACACCCUGGAGGUGCCAGGCAAACGUGAGGUGAUUGCCACGCUGUGCCAGUGUGCUGAAAGUCUUCCAGAGAACACGGUAAAGGGAUGGGGUCAAGUGUGACUUGUGACCCCCUCUAACACUGUUCAUCCGAGGUACUCAAAUGGUGUGAGCACCAGUUAGUGAAGUCGUGCAUGGCUCAUCAUAAGCAAGGUGAAGACGUGUAUCACAUGUCCACAGUGGAGAAACUGAGGCUAACAGGGACACGUCUUGCUCUAUGUCACUCGGCAGGUCAGGGUCAGGCCAGCAGCAUUAAGCACCACUGCCAAACUGACUAUGUAUAAUGAGCCUAUUGGAAUUCCAUUUACAUUAGUUAAUUACAAGUUCAUAACCAGAAUGGGUUUUAUUUCCUCUAUUAUGCAAAGAAUUUACCAGGUGGGAGAAGUAUCUACCCAGUUUACAACCAGACACUAGACCCAUUUAGCUAAUUAGCUGGAUCCAGGCUGGCAAUUGGAUGCAUUCAUACAUCUUCUCCAUUACCAUAGUCUGUUUGUGAAUCAAAUUGUCACACAAGACAGCUAAAAUAUCUCCAAAAAUACAGGAAGGGGACACAUGUUCUGGCGGACCAGAGACACUGCACUGUGUUCCUCUCUGUGAAUUCUGUUGUACAGACUUCCACACUUUUAAUCUGUUUACCCACAGCAACUCAUCUUGGAUCCAGAGCCUGCCUUUAUGGGCUGUUUCUGCAUACUUUUUUUUUCCUUAAAAGCCAGGCUUCUUGAAUCGCAGGGAGGUGAGGGAUGUGACUUGACUGUAUUCCAACAGCAAGUCUCAAUGAUUCAAAGUCAGAAGUGGAAUUCAGCUCCCAGGCUUCAAGGAAAACUGGGCCAAAAGGAAACUCUGCUUUUCCCAUUCUACUUUGGCCAGCAAGCUAAAAGUUAGGCAAAUAGGAAGCAUGUCCCACCCUAACAACAUGGAGAGCAAGCUUUUUAAAACUGCAGCUGGCUCUUUUUGUUGCUCCCUGCAUAUUUCAGAAAAUUUCUGGAAGUCUUACUUGGCAUGACCAAAUUACCACGCCUGACUCUGCCAGCUCCCUGACUGGGUCUUCUCUAUCCCUCGACCAUGGAGGAGAAAACCUUUCCACCAGAAACGGAGCUGGCAACAACAAGCAUUCUCCCUCUCUCCACUUUUCUCAUUAUAAAUUUCCAUGGCACAAUAAAGCAUUUUCCAACCAA
Gallus gallus (chicken) is the source of this 5925-nucleotide long non-coding RNA. RefSeq lists it as uncharacterized. The transcript is spliced from 4 exons. The record is from RefSeq and is a predicted model, not a curated record. NCBI's taxonomy places the organism in Eukaryota, Metazoa, Chordata, Aves, Galliformes, Phasianidae.